RNAcentral lists this transfer RNA (73 nucleotides) under Clostridium sp. RNAcentral's name for it is "tRNA-Ile". It matches the Rfam family "tRNA". Rfam says of the family: Transfer RNA (tRNA) molecules are approximately 80 nucleotides in length. Their secondary structure includes four short double-helical elements and three loops (D, anti-codon, and T loops). Lineage: Bacteria; Bacillati; Bacillota; Clostridia; Eubacteriales; Clostridiaceae. RNAcentral also lists the same sequence under 1 other name. The record is from RNAcentral.
GGACCGUUAGCUCAGCGGUGAGAGCGCCCGGCUCAUAACCGGGUCGUCCGGGGUUCGAAUCCCUGACGGUCCA